Molecule: ribosomal RNA, 261 nt
Filed under: Providencia stuartii
Lineage: Bacteria; Pseudomonadati; Pseudomonadota; Gammaproteobacteria; Enterobacterales; Morganellaceae
Description: partial 23S ribosomal RNA
Rfam family: Bacterial large subunit ribosomal RNA
Source: RNAcentral
AGCUUGACACUGAACAUUGAGCCUUGAUGUGUAGGAUAGGUGGGAGGCUUUGAAGUGUGGACGCCAGUCUGCAUGGAGCCAACCUUGAAAUACCACCCUUUAAUGUUUGAUGUUCUAACGUUGCCCCAUAAUCUGGGGUGCGGACAGUGUCUGGUGGGUAGUUUGACUGGGGCGGUCUCCUCCCAAAGCGUAACGGAGGAGCACGAAGGUUGGCUAAGCAUGGUCGGACAUCAUGCGGUUAGUGCAAAGGCAUAAGCCAGC